UACGUAGGGGGCAAGCGUUGUCCGGAAUUACUGGGCGUAAAGGGAGCGUAGGCGGCACUGUAAGUUUCAUGUGAAAUACCCGGGCUUAACCCGGGGGUUGCAUGGAAAACUGCAGAGCUAGAGUACAGGAGAGGCAAGUGGAAUUCCUAGUGUAGCGGUGAAAUGCAUAGAUAUUAGGAGGAACACCAGUGGCGAAGGCGACUUGCUGGACUGAAACUGACGCUGAUGCUCGAAAGCGUGGGGAGCAAAC
Molecule: ribosomal RNA, 250 nt
Filed under: uncultured bacterium
Lineage: Bacteria
Description: partial 16S ribosomal RNA
Rfam family: Bacterial small subunit ribosomal RNA
Source: RNAcentral